RNAcentral lists this ribosomal RNA (490 nucleotides) under uncultured bacterium. RNAcentral's name for it is "partial 16S ribosomal RNA". It matches the Rfam family "Bacterial small subunit ribosomal RNA", at positions 29 to 507 of the family's 1533-position model. The record is from RNAcentral.
AGUGAACGCUGGCGGCAGGCCUAACACAUGCAAGUCGAACGGCAGCACAAGAGAGCUUGCUCUCUGGGUGGCGAGUGGCGGACGGGUGAGGAAUGCAUCGGAAUCUGCCCAUUUGUGGGGGAUAACCUCGGGAAACCGGGACUAAUACCGCAUACGACCUACGGGUGAAAGCAGGGGAUCUUCGGACCUUGCGCAGAUGGAUGAGCCGAUGCCGGAUUAGCUAGUUGGAGGGGUAAAGGCCCACCAAGGCGACGAUCCGUAGCUGGUCUGAGAGGAUGAUCAGCCACACUGGGACUGAGACACGGCCCAGGCUCCUACGGGAGGCAGCAGUGGGGAAUAUUGGACAAUGGGCGCAAGCCUGAUCCAGCCAUGCCGCGUGUGUGAAGAAGGCCUUCGGGUUGUAAAGCACUUUUGUUGGGAAAGAAAAGCAGCCGGUUAAUACCCGGUUGUCAUGACGGUACCCAAAGAAUAAGCACCGGCUAACUUCGUG